UAGGGAAUUUUCCACAAUGGGGGCAACCCUGAUGGAGCAACGCCGCGUGCAGGAUGAAGGCCCUUGGGUCGUAAACUGCUUUUAUCUGUGAAGAUUAUGACGGUAGCAGAUGAAUAAGGAUCGGCUAACUCCGUGCCAGCAGCCGCGGUCAUACGGAGGAUCCAAGCGUUAUCCGGAAUUACUGGGCGUAAAGAGUUGCGUAGGCGGCAUAGUAAGUAGGGCGUGAAAGCGUGUGGCUCAACCAUAUACACAUGUCCUAAACUGCUAAGCUAGAAUCUGGAAGAGGUGGCUAGAAUUCCUUGUGUAGGAGUGAAAUCCGUAGAUAUAAGGAGGAAUACCGAUGGCGUAGGCAGGCCACUGGUCCAGUAUUGACGCUAAGGCACGAAAGCGUGGGGAGCAAACGGG
RNAcentral lists this ribosomal RNA (405 nucleotides) under uncultured bacterium. Its description in RNAcentral is "bacterial SSU rRNA". It matches the Rfam family "Bacterial small subunit ribosomal RNA", at positions 355 to 776 of the family's 1533-position model. The record is from RNAcentral.